GAUAUUUGUGUACUCUUGUAGGCACCUUCAAUGGUUUAUGUGAGCAACCAAGGCAUGGUCUAUUGUGCUGGUGCUGCUCCCAUGGCAAUUCCAAUGCAAACAGCAGGUGGUGUGGUAAUGGUUCCAGUAUCUUCAUCAGGGGGCGUUGGAGGCCAUCCUCAAACAGUUCAAAUGCCAGGUGGUAGUGUAAUGCAAGUAGUUAGUCAGCCACAGAUGUACCAAUCUCCUAUGGCUGGAGCUGUGAGCAUGCAGCCUCAAAUGGUCCAGGUGCCAACAUCUGGAGCUGGGGCUCUGGGGGGUCAAGCUCAAAUGGUCCAGAUGCCAACAUCUGGGGCUCAAGGAGGUCAAGCCCCAAUGGUCCAGGUGUCACAAAUGGGAAAACCUGAAGGCCCACCAGAAUUUACCAGGAUCACUCCUGAUGUAACAGUGCCCGCAGAGAAGGAACCACUUCCUUAAGUAAUUACAGAUUUCAAUUACUCUUUGUCAAAAUCAACGGACAAGCACGGAGAUUGUUUUUCGUUAUGAUGCUCACUGUUGUUUAAAAGCACUACACGCAGCAAAAGUAACACAGUUAUCUUAAAUGAUCACCUUUCAGUUAUUAAACGUGGAGUAAAUAACUGAAAGGUAGAUUUGAUAGACUGAAAAGCAAGUAUGCAGCUGUUUCGUGAAAGGUUGUCAGAAAAAAAGAAACAAAUACACGCAAUUCCCCCAAAAGGUAAAGUGGAAUAUUUUCAGGUCGCAGUUCCUUUAUCUCAGGAUUUCAGGGAAAUCCGCCUGAGAAAACGGACGAGAAUAUUGCGAUUUUAUGAAUUUAUUUAUUUUUUAUUUAUUUGACUUAUAAAAAUUAAUUGAUUACCGGAUACCCAGAUUGCCCUCGUCACGUCCUUUUUUCUGACCAACUAUCUCAAAACAACUGUUUCCAGUACAGCUUAAGCACGGAGUGUACACUGCUGAAAAGGCUUAGUGUUCCCUUAUUAUAAUUUAGGUGUAGUAUUUAUUUAUAACACCUAAGAAUGAAGCUGCACUUUUAUUUAGAGUUAUUAAUUCCCACUCAUUUGAAGGAAAUUUUACUAGACUGUAAAGCUGGUCGUAUUAAAAGCUGGAGUGAACAUUUCCAUGAAACAAAGGCAUUGCA
This is a long non-coding RNA of Stylophora pistillata, 1135 nucleotides long. The record is from RefSeq and is a predicted model, not a curated record. Lineage: Eukaryota; Metazoa; Cnidaria; Anthozoa; Scleractinia; Pocilloporidae.